RNAcentral lists this transfer RNA (76 nucleotides) under Natribacillus halophilus. RNAcentral describes it as "tRNA_Val_TAC". It matches the Rfam family "tRNA". From Rfam's summary of the family: Transfer RNA (tRNA) molecules are approximately 80 nucleotides in length. The record is from RNAcentral. RNAcentral also lists the same sequence under 1 other name. Lineage: Bacteria; Bacillati; Bacillota; Bacilli; Caryophanales; Bacillaceae.
GGAGGGUUAGCUCAGUUGGGAGAGCAUCUGCCUUACAAGCAGGAGGUCGGCGGUUCGAGCCCGUCACCCUCCACCA